Molecule: ribosomal RNA, 702 nt
Filed under: Triticum aestivum (bread wheat)
Lineage: Eukaryota; Viridiplantae; Streptophyta; Magnoliopsida; Poales; Poaceae
Description: partial small subunit ribosomal RNA
Source: RNAcentral
AUGGAAGAGGAGAUAGAAACCCCUAGAGAUUUGAAGCCAUGUGGGCCUUUGGAGGAGUACCGCAUUCCAGAUUACGUCUUGAGACCAGAUGCCCAACAAGUACUUGUUGAUCAUGCUCCACAGUGUCCUGUAAUAGUGUUCAUCAAUUCUAAAUCUGGCGGUCAACUUGGAAGUAGUUUGAUCAAAACAUACCGUGAACUUCUGAGUGAAGCACAGGUUAUUGAUCUCUCAGAAGAGACUCCGGAUAAGGUUCUGCACCGUUUAUAUGUGAAUGUUGAAAGGCUCAAGAUUGAAGGUGACAUUCUUGCCGUUCAAAUUUGGAGGACUAUGAGAUUAAUUGUUGCAGGUGGCGAUGGUACAGCGAGUUGGUUGCUUGGGGUCGUCAGUGAUCUUAAGCUUUCCCACCCACCUCCAAUUGCCACCGUACCUCUGGGAACUGGAAACAACCUUCCAUUUUCUUUUGGAUGGGGAAAGAAGAAUCCUUCUACAGAUCAAGAGGCUGUAAAAAUAUUCCUUGGGCUUGUGAAGCAUGCAAAAGAGAUUAAAAUUGAUAGCUGGCAUCUAAUUUUGAGGAUGAAAGCUCCAAAAGAAGGUCCGUGUGAACCCAUUGCUCCCUUAGAGUUGCCUCAUUCACUUCAUGCGUUCCACCGUGUGUCAAGCGGUGACUCCCACGAUGUGGUAAGCAUGUAUUUAUGCAAGUAA